This 327-nucleotide ribosomal RNA is filed under the name uncultured eukaryote. RNAcentral's name for it is "partial 18S ribosomal RNA". It matches the Rfam family "Eukaryotic small subunit ribosomal RNA", at positions 1470 to 1796 of the family's 1831-position model. The record is from RNAcentral.
CCCUUAGAUGUUCUGGGCCGCACGCGCGCUACACUGACGAAUGCAACGAGCUUAUAACCUUGGCCGAAAGGUCUGGGUAAUCUCCAAAUUUCGUCGUGAUGGGGAUAGAUUAUUGCAAUUAUUAAUCUUCAACGAGGAAUGCCUAGUAAGCGCAAGUCAUCAGCUUGCGUUGAUUACGUCCCUGCCCUUUGUACACACCGCCCGUCGCUCCUACCGAUUGAAUGGUCCGGUGAAGCGUUUGGACUAUGGUUUUCUGAUGGUCCGCCGUUGGAUUACCGUGGGAAGUUCGUUAAACCUUAUCAUUUAGAGGAAGGAGAAGUCGUAACA